CCUACGGGAGGCAGCAGUGGGGAAUUUUGGACAAUGGGCGAAAGCCUGAUCCAGCAAUGCCGCGUGAGUGAAGAAGGCCUUCGGGUUGUAAAGCUCUUUUGUCAGGGAAGAAACGGUGAGAGCUAAUAUCUCUUGCUAAUGACGGUACCUGAAGAAUAAGCACCGGCUAACUACGUGCCAGCAGCCGCGGUAAUACGUAGGGUGCAAGCGUUAAUCGGAAUUACUGGGCGUAAAGCGUGCGCAGGCGGUUUUGUAAGUCUGUCGUGAAAUCCCCGGGCUCAACCUGGGAAUUGCGAUGGAGACUGCAAGGCUAGAAUCUGGCAGAGGGGGGUAGAAUUCCACGUGUAGCAGUGAAAUGCGUAGAGAUGUGGAGGAACACCGAUGGCGAAGGCAGCCCCCUGGGUCAAGAUUGACGCUCAUGCACGAAAGCGUGGGGAGCAAACAGGAUUAGAUACCCUGGUAGUCCACGCCCUAAACGAUGUCUACUAGUUGUCGGGUUUUAAUAACUUGGUAACGCAGCUAACGCGUGAAGUAGACCGCCUGGGGAUACGGUCGCAAGNUUAAAACCNGAAAGAUUGACGNUAGAGACGAGCGACGACGACGACGAGGGAGGAGG
RNAcentral lists this ribosomal RNA (616 nucleotides) under uncultured bacterium. RNAcentral's name for it is "bacterial SSU rRNA". It matches the Rfam family "Bacterial small subunit ribosomal RNA", at positions 338 to 951 of the family's 1533-position model. The record is from RNAcentral.